Molecule: ribosomal RNA, 626 nt
Filed under: Apiotrichum scarabaeorum
Lineage: Eukaryota; Fungi; Basidiomycota; Tremellomycetes; Trichosporonales; Trichosporonaceae
Description: eukaryotic LSU rRNA
Rfam family: Eukaryotic large subunit ribosomal RNA
Source: RNAcentral
UAAGCGGAGGAAAAGAAACUAACAAGGAUUCCCUUAGUAACGGCGAGUGAACCGGGAAAAGCUCAAAUUUGAAAUCUGGCUGUCUUCGAUAGUCCGAGUUGUAAUCUAUAGAAGUGUUUUCCGUGCUGAACUGUGUCUAAGUCCCUUGGAACAGGGUAUCAAAGAGGGUGACAAUCCCGUACUUGACACAAUCAUCAGUGCUCUGUGAUACACUUUCUACGAGUCGAGUUGUUUGGGAAUGCAGCUCAAAAUGGGUGGUAAAUUCCAUCUAAAGCUAAAUAUUGGCGAGAGACCGAUAGCGAACAAGUACCGUGAGGGAAAGAUGAAAAGCACUUUGGAAAGAGAGUUAAACAGUACGUGAAAUUGUUGAAAGGGAAACGAUUGAAGUCAGUCGUGUUCAUUGGAUUCAGCUAGUUCUUCUAGUCUACUUCCUUUGAACGGGUCAACAUCAGUUUUGUCCGGUGGAUAAAGGCAGUAGGAAUGUGGCUUCUUCGGAAGUGUUAUAGCCUAUUGUCACAUACACUGGAGGAGACUGAGGACUGCAGCUCGCCUUUUGGCCGGGGUUCGCCCACGUUCGAGCUUAGGAUGUUGACAUAAUGGCUUUAAACGACCCGUCUUGAAACACG